CCCUUAGAUGUUCUGGGCCGCACGCGCGCUACACUGAUGCAAUCAACGAGUUCCUUGGCCGAGAGGCCUGGGCAAUCUUUUGAACCUGCAUCGUGAUAGGGAUAGAUUCUUGCAAUUAUUAAUCUUGAACGAGGAAUUCCUAGUAAACGCAGAUCAUCAAUCUGCAUUGAUUACGUCCCUGCCCUUUGUACACACCGCCCGUCGCACCUACCGAUUGAAUGGUCCGGUGAAGCCUCGGGAUUGCGACUGGUGCCUUUAUUGGUGUUGGUUGCGAGAACUUGUCUAAACCUUAUCAUUUAGAGGAAGGUGAAGUCGUAACA
RNAcentral lists this ribosomal RNA (320 nucleotides) under uncultured eukaryote. RNAcentral's name for it is "partial 18S ribosomal RNA". It matches the Rfam family "Eukaryotic small subunit ribosomal RNA", at positions 1470 to 1796 of the family's 1831-position model. The record is from RNAcentral.